This 253-nucleotide ribosomal RNA is filed under the name uncultured bacterium. RNAcentral's name for it is "partial 16S ribosomal RNA". It matches the Rfam family "Bacterial small subunit ribosomal RNA", at positions 524 to 776 of the family's 1533-position model. The record is from RNAcentral.
UACGUAGGUGGCGAGCGUUAUCCGGAAUUACUGGGUGUAAAGGGUGUGUAGGCGGGGAUGCAAGUCAGAUGUGAAAACCAUGGGCUCAACCCAUGAUGUGCAUUUGAAACUGCGUUUCUUGAGUGUGGGAGAGGUAAGCGGAAUUCCUAGUGUAGCGGUGAAAUGCGUAGAUAUUAGGAGGAACACCAGUGGCGAAGGCGGCUUACUGGACCACAACUGACGCUGAGACACGAAAGCGUGGGGAGCAAACAGG